Eriocheir sinensis (Chinese mitten crab) is the source of this 1370-nucleotide RNA transcript. It is a transcript of the gene named protein lava lamp-like, with no coding region annotated. The transcript is spliced from 9 exons. NCBI's taxonomy places the organism in Eukaryota, Metazoa, Arthropoda, Malacostraca, Decapoda, Varunidae. The record is from RefSeq and is a predicted model, not a curated record.
GUCCAAUACAAGAUGCCGCUCGCUAAGGACGAACCGCAGGACUCCGAAAUAGCCAGGAGGCGAGCAGCUGUCAUGAGGAUCGUUGACCGUCUCGUUGAGGACUCCAAGGACCUCUCAGCGCGCCUACAGGACCCAAGGAGCGCCUAUCCUACGCCUGGCUAUGACAAGGUUAACAGCCUUGUCGGGGUCUUAACGAGUCUACGACCUGUCAUUCACCAUAGACUUUACUUCAGCCCAACCUUGCAAUAUCUCUACGCCUCCCAGCUGGCAAGACGGGCGGGAUCUGAUGGGGCCUCCGGGGAGAAUGUGGAGGCCGUGGAGUCCCAGUUGGCGGAGGCACAGCGACAGCGCGAGUCCGAGCUGAGCUGUCGGGAGACUGUCUUGGCGAACCUCAGUGACACCCUAAGACAGCUGGACGCACAGGGCUCACAGGCGGUCAGGAAGUGCAGGCGUGAGGCGAGGGCAGAGUGUGAUGAGGUCCGAGCUCAGAGCGAAAGCAGUCUUGAGGAGCUGAGGGCAGGUCUAGCAGCCAGCAGGGAGGCACAGCGGCAGCAGGCAAGCAGGCACUGUCAGGAGGAGGCACUCAGCAGGGAAAGGAGGCAGGGGUUGGAGGCGGACAUGCAGCGGGUCAUCCGUAGAUAUGACAGGACCAUGAGUUGCCUUCAGACCGAGCUGGACAGCCUCCGAGACCAGCACCGAGACCUCACCGCCAAGCUGGAGACUGAGACAGCCCAUCUAAGUGUUGUGGAAGCGAGGUACCGGGCAAUUUUGGAGGAGAAACAGAGGCAGGAGGAGGAAAGAUUGGCAGCUAUGCAGGCUGAGUUCCGCCGCGAGCACGCCGCCCGCACCAUCCAGCGCGCUUGGCAGCACUACAAAAUGAGGAAGAUGUUGAAGAAGGCGCAGCGCAAGAGGAAGAAGAAGCCAAAGGAUGGGAAAUGAAGAGGAGGAGGAGGAGGAGGAAGAAAAAAUGAGAGGAGGAGGAGAGCAAGAAAUAUAGGAGGAGGAGGUCUCCAGUCCACUGGUAAGCUUAUGAAAGUCACUCUGUACCUCUCUAUAGCAAGCUUAGUAAUCUCAGAUCUCUAUAGUAAGCUGAAGGUAUCUGAACCUCUCUAUAGUAAGCUUGAAGUCACUGCGAAUCCCUAUCUAAGCUGACUUCUGGAGCGUGGAAUCUAUGGGUGAUGUCCAACUUGAAUCCCUCCCUCUCUCUCUCUCCAAUCCCUCCCUUUCCUCCAAUCUCUCUCCCUCGACAGGCAAAGCUUGGUCUGAAGCCGAGGAACAAUUUUAAGCUGGUGGAAGUUGCUACAGAAAUAUAUCCAUUGUACUCCUCACCAAUGUCCAAGUUGAAAUAUAAAUAAAGUUAGUAAAAAGAA